This 256-nucleotide ribosomal RNA is filed under the name uncultured Staphylococcus sp. Its description in RNAcentral is "partial 16S ribosomal RNA". It matches the Rfam family "Bacterial small subunit ribosomal RNA", at positions 524 to 779 of the family's 1533-position model. The record is from RNAcentral. Lineage: Bacteria; Bacillati; Bacillota; Bacilli; Caryophanales; Staphylococcaceae.
UACGUAGGUGGCAAGCGUUAUCCGGAAUUAUUGGGCGUAAAGCGCGCGUAGGCGGUUUCUUAAGUCUGAUGUGAAAGCCCACGGCUCAACCGUGGAGGGUCAUUGGAAACUGGGAAACUUGAGUGCAGAAGAGGAAAGUGGAAUUCCAUGUGUAGCGGUGAAAUGCGCAGAGAUAUGGAGGAACACCAGUGGCGAAGGCGACUUUCUGGUCUGUAACUGACGCUGAUGUGCGAAAGCGUGGGGAUCAAGCAGGAUU